This 253-nucleotide ribosomal RNA is filed under the name uncultured bacterium. RNAcentral describes it as "partial 16S ribosomal RNA". It matches the Rfam family "Bacterial small subunit ribosomal RNA", at positions 524 to 776 of the family's 1533-position model. The record is from RNAcentral.
UACGUAGGGUGCGAGCGUUAAUCGGAAUUACUGGGCGUAAAGCGUGCGCAGGCGGUUUUGUAAGCCAGAUGUGAAAGCCCCGGGCUUAACCUGGGAAUGGCAUUUGUGACUGCAUAGCUAGAGUACGGUAGAGGGGGAUGGAAUUCCGCGUGUAGCAGUGAAAUGCGUAGAUAUGCGGAGGAACACCGAUGGCGAAGGCAAUCCCCUGGACCUGUACUGACGCUCAUGCACGAAAGCGUGGGGAGCAAACAGG